Molecule: transfer RNA, 73 nt
Filed under: Camelus bactrianus (Bactrian camel)
Lineage: Eukaryota; Metazoa; Chordata; Mammalia; Artiodactyla; Camelidae
Also listed under: 2 other names
Rfam family: tRNA
About the family: Transfer RNA (tRNA) molecules are approximately 80 nucleotides in length. Their secondary structure includes four short double-helical elements and three loops (D, anti-codon, and T loops).
Source: Rfam by way of RNAcentral
GAGGGUAUAGCUAAAGGGGUAGAGCACAUGCUUAGCAUACACAAGGUCCUGGGUUCAAUCCCCAGUACCUCCU